GCUGUAGUUCAGUGGGAGAGCAUCUGCUUUGCAGGCCAGAGGAUCCCAGGUUCAAUCCCCAGCAUCUCCA
Podarcis lilfordi (Lilford's wall lizard) is the source of this 70-nucleotide non-coding RNA. The record is from the annotation of a GenBank genome assembly. NCBI's taxonomy places the organism in Eukaryota, Metazoa, Chordata, Lepidosauria, Squamata, Lacertidae.